UGGCGACCGGUGCACGGGUGAGUAACACGUAUCCAACCUGCCGAUGACUCGGGGAUAGCCUUUCGAAAGAAAGAUUAAUACCCGAUGGCAUAGUUCUUCCGCAUGGUAGAACUAUUAAAGAAUUUCGGUCAUCGAUGGGGAUGCGUUCCAUUAGGCAGUUGGUGGGGUAAUGGCCCACCAAACCUUCGAUGGAUAGGGGUUCUGAGAGGAAGGUCCCCCACAUUGGAACUGAGACACGGUCCAAACUCCUACGGGAGGCAGCAUG
This 265-nucleotide ribosomal RNA is filed under the name uncultured bacterium. Its description in RNAcentral is "partial 16S ribosomal RNA". It matches the Rfam family "Bacterial small subunit ribosomal RNA", at positions 89 to 353 of the family's 1533-position model. The record is from RNAcentral.